UUUAUAUGAGAGUUUGAUCCUGGCUCAGGAUGAACGCUGGCGGCGUGCCUAAUACAUGCAAGUCGAACGAGUUCUCGUUGAUGAUUGGUGCUUGCACCGAGAUUCAACAUGGAACGAGUGGCGGACGGGUGAGUAACACGUGGGUAACCUGCCCUUAAGUGGGGGAUAACAUUUGGAAACAGAUGCUAAUACCGCAUAGAUCCAAGAACCGCAUGGUUCUUGGCUGAAAGAUGGCGUAAGCUAUCGCUUUUGGAUGGACCCGCGGCGUAUUAGCUAGUUGGUGAGGUAAUGGCUCACCAAGGCGAUGAUACGUAGCCGAACU
This 322-nucleotide ribosomal RNA is filed under the name Lacticaseibacillus paracasei. Its description in RNAcentral is "bacterial SSU rRNA". It matches the Rfam family "Bacterial small subunit ribosomal RNA", at positions 1 to 293 of the family's 1533-position model. The record is from RNAcentral. Lineage: Bacteria; Bacillati; Bacillota; Bacilli; Lactobacillales; Lactobacillaceae.